AAGCCGUGCAGAAGAGCAGCUCGACUCAUUCCAGCCGGAGCUUCGGAGAGACGGACUCACGAACAGAAAGAGAUUACUGAAAUAUAUCUGCGGGAGAGUGAUACAGCGGAGAAAGAUCUGCUUUCACACUCAAAAGCCGCAGGUUCUGCUCGAUCUCGUCUUCCAUGCACAUUCAUCUCAGGAUCUGACAGGAGCAGUUCUGCAUCCAUAUGGCACACAAGGACUUGUGUGUGUGAGAAAGAGAGAGAGAGAGAACAGAUUGUUGUGGGACCUUCAGUCCUGCCCUGUGAACCUGAUGCCACAAUCACCAGCAGGAGAGCAAAAGCAACACACUCUCACACAGCUGUUAAACACACACACACACACACACACACACACACACACACACCAAAAUUAACUUCUGACACAUCUGCAAAUGGCUGGAAUUACAGUUAUUCAUUUAGAGACAUUUAGUGACUUACCGAUGAGGACAAAAUGAUGUCACUCGCAACUGGUGAUAUACUGUAAUUGAAUGAACAUUUAUGUGUAAAAUAUACAAAAUACAGCUUUAUGGCUAGAAACUAUUUGAUAGGACACACAACACUGUUUUUCAGUAAGAUAUGUUUUUGAAAGAAGUCUCUUUUCUGCUUAUUAAGGAAAUAGAAAUAUCUGGGGUCAAUAUUUUUUUAUUUUUUU
Long non-coding RNA from Cyprinus carpio carpio, 675 nucleotides. NCBI's taxonomy places the organism in Eukaryota, Metazoa, Chordata, Actinopteri, Cypriniformes, Cyprinidae. The record is from Ensembl.